GCUUGUCUCAAAGAUUAAGCCAUGCAUGUCUAAGUAUAACUCUUUUACUUUGAAAACUGCGAACGGCUCAUUAUAUCAGUUAUAGUUUCUUUGAUAGUCCCUUACUACUUGGAUACCCGUAGUAAUUCUAGAGCUAAUACAUGCAUCAAUACCCAACUGUUCGCGGAAGGGUAGUAUUUAUUAGAUACAAAACCAAUGCAGGGCAACCUGGUUUUUUGGUGAUUCAUAAUAACUUCUCGGAUCGCAUAGCUUCGGCUGGCGACGUUUCAUUCAAAUUUCUGCCCUAUCAACUUUCGAUGGUAAGGUAUUGGCUUACCAUGGUUACAACGGGUAACGGAGAAUUAGGGUUCGAUUCCGGAGAGGGAGCCUGAGAAACGGCUACCACUUCCAAGGAAGGCAGCAGG
RNAcentral lists this ribosomal RNA (404 nucleotides) under uncultured Ichthyophonida. RNAcentral's name for it is "partial small subunit ribosomal RNA". It matches the Rfam family "Eukaryotic small subunit ribosomal RNA", at positions 30 to 432 of the family's 1831-position model. Lineage: Eukaryota; Ichthyosporea; Ichthyophonida. The record is from RNAcentral.